Molecule: long non-coding RNA, 385 nt
Filed under: Medicago truncatula (barrel medic)
Lineage: Eukaryota; Viridiplantae; Streptophyta; Magnoliopsida; Fabales; Fabaceae
Description: long non-coding RNA (MTRU_LNC007361)
Source: RNAcentral
CUGUAUUUAUCUUUCACUUUCUAUUUUCAAGCCAUCUUGACACCAUUAGAUUCUCAUAGGUUACUAUCCUCGGUUCCUAUUUAAGCUUGUUAUUAUUCUGAGUUAAUCACUUCUAAUUACGCUUAAACCCACUCCUUCAUUAAGUUAUAUAGUUUAGGAUCCUUACUAUUACCUUUCUCUUUAACAACCUUCUUAAACUCUUUAUUAUUUUCUAGGACGUUUUAAGGCUCAUUGAACAGAUUAUGCUGAACUUUCACGAAAAACGCAACAUGACCCAGGUACGGUAAUUUCACCAUAACUCAAGUUGUAGAGGUCUGGUUGAAGUGAAACCAAAUCCAUUGGAAAGCUAACAGACAUACCUAAAACUUUCAUGUUUUGACCGAAA